Molecule: long non-coding RNA, 1769 nt
Organism: Lycium barbarum (goji berry)
Lineage: Eukaryota; Viridiplantae; Streptophyta; Magnoliopsida; Solanales; Solanaceae
Exons: 5
Source: RefSeq, a predicted model, not a curated record
CAAAAAAAAAAAAAAAAAACAAAAGCCCCACCAGUGACUUCUAAAAUUUACACCCUCUCCUAAAAAAUGGGAGGGGAAAAAAAAAAUAAAAAAAUUUACACCCUAAAACGGAAGGCACCUUUUAACUUCUCAUAAUUUCUCUCCGUUAACUCCUCUUCUUUUUCCCAGCGUUACCUUUUGCUCUUGCUUUUCCCACAAUCUAUAUUCAUGGCUACCAUUGCCAAAGUGAAGAACAGCAAGAUGUACUCAUGGCUACCAUUGCCAAAGUGAAGAACAACAAGAUGUACUUAACAGAUUUUAUAGAAUUUCUAAUUCGAGGCAAUACUGCCCUCUUAAAGAGGUAUUGCGAAUCUUAACCAUGAAAUACUUGAACCAAGAAAUUCCCAUGAUUGUGAUGUGUUGUUCAGAAAUUGAAGAAUUGAGGCUGUUUCCCUUUUGACAUGAGGAUUUGAGUAAAGAAAUUAAGAAUGGAAUAAGGAAACAAUUGAUUAUCAUCAUUUUUCUGAAUUCCGAAGUAGAGUUGCAAAGAAAUUAAGGAAAACUCCUACUAUUUAAAUUCACGACUUAAUUAAAAUUGAAUCCACCAUCUACAUCAAAUACAAAUGACGUGUGCUUACUGGAUUUACACCGACGAUCGGAUACAAUUGCCGUCUCUGCCUCUGCUCGCCACAACAGGCCCUCGAAACUAAUACGGUGAUUGGAAAUGCUGUGAAGAUUGCUGGGGCUAUUAACUAUGUGCAAUCCUUCCACCACCGAGUUGAGUUUAUCUCAAAGAAGUUAUCUGAAUUCGGGAAUGGACUUCAACGUGAAAUGUCUUCUCUCCGAGCAUGCAAAUCACUCAAAGAAUAUGUUGUUAUGAGUUUUUGACUUCUUGAAUAUAAUUUUUAAUGGAUUUUGUGACAAUUUCAGAUGAUUCAAUCCAUUGGAUUGUUUCAUCAUACUAACAGAAGAAAGUUGCAGAGUGCGGAAUUUGGAGUGAUGAGGCUGGUUUAGAAGAAAAUUUAGUUCCUCCAGAUCUGUUGAGAAUAACAAAAGCCAGGAUGUACAAAAGAGCUCUUUAGUUCAAACGUUAUUAUGUAAUCGGCAACAAGUCAAGAAUAUUACGCUGUCGAUGAAAAAUGGCAGAGGAAAAUUCGGCUGCCACCAUUUCCCAAUUUGCUAAUCCAUGGGAUCUCACGAAACAUGUACAAUGAGGACAAAUGACUAGAAAUUGAGCAGUUUGGUCAAGUUUUGGAAGCAAGGACCAAGUGUGCACGAGAAGGAGCAAAGAAGGGAGCUAGACGAAACAAAAAAAACUAAGAAAUCCCUCCUAGAGCGUCGUCCAAAUCCCUUCUAGGGCGCCGCCAGGGGCGACGCCCAGGGCAAUGCCCACUCACAAUGAUCGGAUAAGGCUCAGGACACAACGAAACUGAAAAACCCUUCUUGGGGCGCCACCCAGGCUAGUUUGUGCGGCAGUUCUCCCGGUUUGACCGGGAUUAGGAUUACUUUUUUUUUUGCCCUAGACUAUAAAUAUACGUUUUAUCUAGCCGUAAACGGUGUGUUGGGAUAUUCGAAGACUUGUAUGACACCGUUUUAAUUUCUCUCUCUAGGUUUAUUUUAUUUUUCAUCUUUUCAACCCUAGAUUAUUCAUGAAUUCUUCUUGUUCAUUGAGAAUCAUGAGUAGCUAAACUUCUUAAUUCUAGGGUUGUGGCGAAAGACAUGAUAGUUGGUUUGGCGACAAUUUCUACCAAUUAAAUUUCCAUAUUUUGGAUUUUUUUAUUUAUUCUUGA